Molecule: non-coding RNA, 73 nt
Organism: Canis lupus familiaris (dog)
Lineage: Eukaryota; Metazoa; Chordata; Mammalia; Carnivora; Canidae
Source: Rfam
AAUCGGCUGGCUCAGUCAGCAGAGCAUGGGACUCUUAAUCUUGGGGUUGUGGGUUCGAGCCCCAUGUUGGAUG